GGGAGUAAAAGUCGUAACAAGGUUUCCGUAGGUGAACCUGCGGAAGGAUCAUUACAGAGUUCAUGCCCUCACGGGUAGAUCUCCCACCCUUGAAUAUUUAUACCUUAGUUGCUUUGGCAGGCCGUGGAAACACCAUGGGCUCCGGCUUAUGCGUGCCUGCCAGAGGAAACAAACUCUGUUUUUAGUGAUGUCUGAGUACUAUAUAAUAGUUAAAACUUUCAACAACGGAUCUCUUGGUUCUG
RNAcentral lists this unclassified non-coding RNA (242 nucleotides) under plant metagenome. RNAcentral describes it as "partial contains small subunit ribosomal RNA, internal transcribed spacer 1, and 5.8S ribosomal RNA". The stretch from base 1 to 54 matches the Rfam family "Eukaryotic small subunit ribosomal RNA", at positions 1778 to 1831 of the family's 1831-position model. The record is from RNAcentral.